AUUUUUUAAUUAAUAAGAAGGCACCAUUUUCACCUUCUUCACCCUCCAAUACCACUAUAAUAAGUUGAGUCACCUUCCCAUUAAAACUUGACCACCGAGCAACCACAAGAGAUACUAGCAGAUUUGUAAAUAUCCACCACAAUUUUUCUAGGGACCGAAAGUGGAAGAGGAAAUAAUUGAAGUUGCAGCCACUUCAAAACCCAAUAAUUUUCACAAACCAAAAUUGAUUUAUGCACCCUACACGCCAUUCAGCAAGGUGAUGCGGAAGAAAAUAUUGUGGUGGUCAUCGGUGGUCUCCAUCGCCGGUGAUGGUUCAAACUUUUCCAUUGUGUUUAUUGCAAUUGAUGGUUCGAAGGUUUCAACGAUGAGUUUUCGACAGGUUCCGAUGAAAUUCCUAUCCUUCUUGAUGAUUUUUUGGACAAAGUUCCUAUCCUAACGAUUUUGCAUAAUGAAAUUCUGAUGAUUUUCUAUCUUUAAUUAUGAUGAAAAGAAGAAGCUAUGGCAAUGGCAGCAACAGAGAACUGGGUUCUUUGCUGGUCUUUUGUUUUUUUGUGUUUUUCUUUCUUUUCUUUUUUUUAAAUCUUUUUUCUCCUAUUUAAGUCAUUUUCUGUUUAAUCUUUGUAUUCACGCUUUUUUUUUUAGUGCGUGUACCAAACAUUUUAUCCA
Nicotiana tabacum (common tobacco) is the source of this 666-nucleotide long non-coding RNA. RefSeq lists it as uncharacterized. Lineage: Eukaryota; Viridiplantae; Streptophyta; Magnoliopsida; Solanales; Solanaceae. The record is from RefSeq and is a predicted model, not a curated record.